GCUCAGUCGGUAGAGCAUCAGACUUUUA
Molecule: non-coding RNA, 28 nt
Filed under: Xenopus tropicalis (tropical clawed frog)
Lineage: Eukaryota; Metazoa; Chordata; Amphibia; Anura; Pipidae
Also listed under: 5 other names
Source: RNAcentral